Molecule: unclassified non-coding RNA, 402 nt
Filed under: soil metagenome
Description: partial contains 5.8S ribosomal RNA, internal transcribed spacer 2, and large subunit ribosomal RNA
Rfam family: 5.8S ribosomal RNA (bases 1-121)
Source: RNAcentral
GAUGAAGAACGUAGCGAAAUGCGAUAAGUAAUGUGAAUUGCAGAACUCAGUGAAUCAUCGAAUCUUUGAACGCACCUUGCGCCCUUUGGCUAUUCCGAAGGGCAUGCCUGUUUGAGUAUCGUGAACACCUCAACUCUCAUGGUUUGCCAUGAUGAGCUUGGACUUUGGGGGUUUUGCUGGCCUUUGGUCGGCUCCUCUCAAACGGAUCAGCUUUCCAGUGUUUGGUGGCGUCACGGGUGUGAUAACUAUCUACGCCUGUGGUUUUCUGCCAGAUAACCUUCAGCGAUGGAGGUUCGCUGGGGCUCAUAAAUGUCUCUCUUCAGUGGAGACAGCUUUUUGGACGUUUGAUCUCAAAUCAGGUAGGACUACCCGCUGAACUUAAGCAUAUCAAUAAGCGGAGGA